RNAcentral lists this long non-coding RNA (1754 nucleotides) under Homo sapiens (human). RNAcentral describes it as "non-protein coding MAFG-DT:20". Lineage: Eukaryota; Metazoa; Chordata; Mammalia; Primates; Hominidae. The record is from RNAcentral.
CCUCGCCUGGCUCCUGCGCCCGCCGUCCAGGGCCCCUGUCCAAGCUCGCGGACGCCGGCGGCGUUUUCCAGCUCGAGUGCUCAGCCUAGGGCAGGCUCUGCGUGCGCCCCCUCGAGUGCCGGCCUGGGCCCUGCCAGGCAGAGGCGCUCUUGCGUCAGGACGGCGCCGCCGGGGCCCCGCGAUUCCAACUCGGGGGUCCCGGAGCGGCGCGGGGCGGGGACGGCCUGGCAGCUCCCAGCAGCGAGGGGCGAUCCCCGCCCGCGCAGCAGACCCCGAGCUGCCCAGGCCCUUCCUGCGCCACGUGUACCCAGAGCUCCGCCCGGGGGAGACUUCGCUGCUUGUUGGAGAUGCCCAGCGGUAGGGGGCGAGGACUCGGGAGGAAGAUAAACGGGGGAUCCCGUGUCUGGACUUUCUCCUCCACCCUCUUCCCUUCGCAGCUGUGAAUCCUGGGAGGGGAAGGGUGGCCGCCCCGCCAGCAGAGCUGAAGGUGUUCCGUGGUCAGUGAGGGCUGGCACUGGCUCUGCACGAAGAUCUCCUCACCUCCCCAGCGGCUCCUGGCCAGCUCCCCACGGAGAGCCCAGGACACUUGUCCCUGGACACAGUGGUGCAGCCAUGCUUGGGCCAAACCAUGAGGCCACCAGAACCGCGAAAGGCUACUGUACUGAGAGGGAUACUGCGAGAGAGGCCCACAGGUUUCCAAGCAUCCCUCUCACUCCGCACACUCAUCUCCACGACCGGCUUUAAGUGCGGCCUUGAGGCCUGGCUCCCUGUUUGGACUUCUCUGCACCUCCAGGAGCUCACUUCCCGUCACAGCUGGAUGCCUCCUCCCGCAGGCACCUCCCGGGCAUCCUCCCGCCCCAGGCUGCACCUUCUGUGGGACUGGCCCCCGCAGGCACCUCCCGGGCACCCUCCCGCCCCAGGCUGCAGCUUCUGUGGGACUGAGCCCCGCAGGCACCUCCCCGGCAUCCUCCCGCCCCAGGCUGCACCUUCUGUGGGACUGAGCCCCGCAGGCACUUCCCCGGCAUCCUCCCGCCCCAGGCUGCAGCUUCUGUGGGACUGACCUUAAGACCCCAUCGGUUCCUCCUGAGAGCAGCAGAUCUCAGCCAGAUGCUGCCGGGAGGGAGGUGCUAGCGUCCACACCCAGACGGGUCCAGUCCAGCCCUGCUCUCCCUGGUCUCCAGGCAGGGCCCUCCCAGGGUGGACAUUGCCCAUCUCUGCCUGGCCAGGGGCUGCUGACCCACUGGUUCCAGAGUCUGAGCCUGUCCUGCACAAGUACCAUGGACAGGGGUCAGCCGGGCACUGAAGAGGCGUGGCAGAAUUGGGCAGGGCAAGGGCCCCAGCUGGCAAGCUGGAGUCAGGGCAAUUCCAACCAAGAAACUGCGGCAGGCCGGGUGCAGUGUCUCAAGCCUAUAAUCCCAGCACUUUGGGAGGCAGUGGGAGAAUCGCUUGAGCCCGGGAGUUUGAGACCAGCAUUGGUAACAUAGAGACCCUAUCGCUACAAGAAAAAAAAAAAAAAAAAGCUGGGCAUGGUGGUGCACACCUGUUGUCCCAGCUAUUCAGGAGGCUGACGUGGGAGGAUUGCUUGUGCCCAGGGGUUGCAGGCUGCAGUGAGCUGUGAUCAUACCACUGCACUCCAGCCUGGGCGACAGAGAACCUCUCUAAAAAAAAAGGAAAAUGAAAAAUAAAUGGGGGCAGAAGCUGAGCCAAGCAGAGGCGGGCAGCUCCUCCUCCAGGGCCCACCUGGCCUGCUGGGG